Tupaia belangeri chinensis (Chinese tree shrew) is the source of this 1622-nucleotide long non-coding RNA. RefSeq lists it as uncharacterized. The transcript has 3 exons. NCBI's taxonomy places the organism in Eukaryota, Metazoa, Chordata, Mammalia, Scandentia, Tupaiidae. The record is from RefSeq and is a predicted model, not a curated record.
CCCAGGGCUCUCUGUGCCUGACUCUCGGCACCUCGCAAUCCCAAGGCUAUGGAGGAACCUCAGCGACCCCAGGUCUGACUCUGGAACUACCUAGAGCCACCGCAGACACAGGAUGCCACCAGAGGUAGCUCUUGCAGUUGCCUGGGCUGUGCCCACUCUGCCGUUCCCGGGCCUCUGACCUGGGCCCACUAAGGUGCCAGUGGCUGUUCCGUCACUGUCCUCCCAAACCAGAACCAGCCCCUGGAAGGACUUUCUUGAAGUGGCGGUUGAAAGCAGGAAGAAGCCCUAAGUCAUCAGGCCAAGUCUGGGAUGCACACCCCUCAACCUCCACCGCAUCCCACCUCUGGACACUCCAACCCACAGAGAAAAAGUGCAGUUCCGCGCUUCCGCCCCAGCGAAAGCCACGGCGGCUGCCUGGCUCCCCGCAGCAGCAACUCCCGGUCUGCCAGCUCUCCAUGCCUGGAUCAUCGUCAAUAAAGUAAUUCGGGCAGCUGUUCCCUUCGCCCAACCUUGCUGUUGCACAAUCCCGCCGGCCCUUGGGACGCUCGUGUGCCCUCAGGACAUGCCGCCCAGGAAGCUGCGUUAUCCCUGCUUCGAGACAGACACCCAGCCAGGUCAGCCCACCCUAGCCUUCUUCAGGCUGAGGGUUCGAGUCAGCCCUGGGCAAAAACAUCAGAAAUCCCCAUGGAUGUGCUCCUUUCUACUGCGUUUUAAGAAGACCAACAUAAGUAGCAAGUCAAAAAAAAAAAAGAGGAAAAUGUGAAGUGCAGCCCAUCCGGGACCACAGGGACACCUGCUAUUAGCAGCCAGAGGUUGUAACCAGGACGAAGCUGCAUCAGCAAUUUCUCCCAGCACUGGAAUUCGCUGCUGCUGAAGAGCAAGUACCCGCCAAAAAAAAAAAAAAAAAAGUCUUAAGGAAGCACAUUCGCGUCUUUGGAGAAUAGAGGCCAUAUCUAAAUGAACAACGCCUCACCUUGAAGUACGACAUGACAACAUCAGUAAUAAUAACAAACAGCACGUCUAAGUCAGUGACAGUCGGACCACAGUGGCCCUAAUGCCAGAGGGGAAGGUGGCAGGUCUGGGCCCUUCCUGAACUCCAGGGAGGACAAUGUGCUUUGGGAAGAAACUCCCAAAGCCUGUGAACAAGAGCCCUCCACUGCAGAGCCCCACUCCCUGCCACACACUCCCCAACCGGCUCUGAGGAAAUGCAGAGUGGACGCGGACCCGGACACCAGAAAGCUCAGCGACUUUCUACUUCGGAGGGAAAUUUCCAGUCUUGAUUGCCAGAACCGUCUGUAAUCUGCUGGGGCUGGUCCCCGACACACCACCUGCGUUUAUGACCUGCACAUAUGCCCUGGGGUACGUUCAGACUCAGCGCCCCACAUUCCUGGGAUGAAGCUACAUCACUCACACCAGCCGGGGUGAAGAUGGUGCAGUCAGGAGCCCGACAGCCUAGGACUGGACCACAGCGCCCGCUCCAGCGGUGUGACCUCUGCCAGCCCCAGCCUCUCUGGGCCUCAGCAGCCCCCUCCUGAGCAAAACAGAAAUUAGCAGUAGGCCUUCCUCGAGGGCUGCACAGGGGCGUAUGAGUCAGUCCUUGGAGAGCCCUGGGAAGCCUGCCU